UACGUAGGGUGCAAGCGUUAAUCGGAAUUACUGGGCGUAAAGCGUGCGCAGGCGGUUGUGCAAGACAGAUGUGAAAUCCCCGGGCUUAACCUGGGAAUUGCAUUUGUGACUGUACGGCUAGAGUGUGUCAGAGGGGGGUAGAAUUCCACGUGUAGCAGUGAAAUGCGUAGAUAUGUGGAGGAAUACCGAUGGCGAAGGCAGCCCCCUGGGAUAACACUGACGCUCAUGCACGAAAGCGUGGGGAGCAAACAG
RNAcentral lists this ribosomal RNA (252 nucleotides) under uncultured bacterium. RNAcentral's name for it is "partial 16S ribosomal RNA". It matches the Rfam family "Bacterial small subunit ribosomal RNA", at positions 524 to 775 of the family's 1533-position model. The record is from RNAcentral.